AACGAGUCUCGGCCUUUUCCCUAAGAUCAAGUGUAGGAGCUGUCCUCUUCGUGCUCAGCAUCUGAUGCGUCCUCUGGUCGAGGACGGCAUUGUAAAUGGGUUUGUUGGGGUUGGGUAUGGGGGCCAGGGGUUCGCUCCAUCCACUUCACGCAUCGGCCUGGCGUUGCAGUGUUUCUAGAAACUGUGUGCGCUUC
Molecule: small nuclear RNA, 194 nt
Filed under: Felis catus (domestic cat)
Lineage: Eukaryota; Metazoa; Chordata; Mammalia; Carnivora; Felidae
Description: U2 spliceosomal RNA (ENSFCAG00000051100.1)
Rfam family: U2 spliceosomal RNA
About the family: U2 is a small nuclear RNA (snRNA) component of the spliceosome (involved in pre-mRNA splicing). Complementary binding between U2 snRNA (in an area lying towards the 5' end but 3' to hairpin I) and the branchpoint sequence (BPS) of the intron results the bulging out of an unpaired adenosine, on the BPS, which initiates a nucleophilic attack at the intronic 5' splice site, thus starting the first of two transesterification reactions that mediate splicing.
Source: Rfam by way of RNAcentral